Molecule: small RNA, 299 nt
Filed under: Vigna angularis var. angularis
Lineage: Eukaryota; Viridiplantae; Streptophyta; Magnoliopsida; Fabales; Fabaceae
Description: Non-protein coding transcript
Source: RNAcentral
UUUUUAUUCUUCCCUUUUAUGGGUAUAAUCUGAAGUGGAAAGUUCAUUUCAUUUAAGUUUCAUUUCAAAGUCAUUUAGCUAUCCUCAUUGAAUAGAAAGCUUCUUCUCUCUCUGACAUUCAUUCGCGAAACUCUUCCCCUGUUGCUACUGCUUCUGCUGGUGCUACACCACCGAACCACUUCGCCGGGAAACCACACUUCAUUCGCGGAAGGUGUGUUCUGAUCAUAAUUUCCGGAAUUCGUGCAUUCAAGUUUUAAAAGAUGGCUGAUGGGGAGGACAUUCAACCUCUUGUUGUUGAU